Molecule: ribosomal RNA, 497 nt
Filed under: uncultured bacterium
Lineage: Bacteria
Description: partial 16S ribosomal RNA
Rfam family: Bacterial small subunit ribosomal RNA
Source: RNAcentral
GAUGAACGCUGGCGGCGUGCCUAAUACAUGCAAGUCGAGCGAACAGACGAGGAGCUUGCUCCUCUGACGUUAGCGGCGGACGGGUGAGUAACACGUGGAUAACCUACCUAUAAGACUGGGAUAACUUCGGGAAACCGGAGCUAAUACCGGAUAAUAUAUUGAACCGCAUGGUUCAAUAGUGAAAGACGGUUUUGCUGGCACUUAUAGAUGGACCCGCGCCGCAUUAGCUAGUUGGUAAGGUAACGGCUUACCAAGGCAACGAUGCGUAGCCGACCUGAGAGGGUGGUCGGCCACACUGGAACUGAGACACGGUCCAGACUCCUACGGGAGGCAGCAGUAGGGAAUCUUCCGCAAUGGGCGAAAGCCUGACGGAGCAACGCCGCGUGAGUGAUGAAGGUCUUCGGAUCGUAAAACUCUGUUAUUAGGGAAGAACAAAUGUGUAAGUAACUAUGCACGUCUUGACGGUACCUAAUCAGAAAGCCACGGCUAACUACGUG